CGGAGGCCGGGUAGAGAGAAGCUUGCUUCUCUUGAGAGCGGCGGACGGGUGAGUAAUACCUAGGAAUCUGCCUGAUAGUGGGGGAUAACGUUCGGAAACGGACGCUAAUACCGCAUACGUCCUACGGGAGAAAGCAGGGGACCUUCGGGCCUUGCGCUAUCAGAUGAGCCUAGGUCGGAUUAGCUAGUUGGUGAGGUAAUGGCUCACCAAGGCUACGAUCCGUAACUGGUCUGAGAGGAUGAUCAGUCACACUGGAACUGAGACACGGUCCAGACUCCUACGGGAGGCAGCAGUGGGGAAUAUUGGACAAUGGGCGAAAGCCUGAUCCAGCCAUGCCGCGUGUGUGAAGAAGGUCUUCGGAUUGUAAAGCACUUUAAGUUGGGAGGAAGGGCAGUUACCUAAUACGUGAUUGUCUUGACGUUACCGACAGAAUAAGCACCGGCUAACUCUGUGCCAGCAGCCGCGGUAAUACAGAGGGUGCAAGCGUUAAUCGGAAUUACUGGGCGUAAAGCGCGCGUAGGUGGUUUGUUAAGUUGAAUGUGAAAUCCCCGGGCUCAACCUGGGAACUGCAUCCAAAACUGGCAAGCUAGAGUAUGGUAGAGGGUAGUGGAAUUUCCUGUGUAGCGGUGAAAUGCGUAGAUAUAGGAAGGAACACCAGUGGCGAAGGCGACUACCUGGACUGAUACUGACACUGAGGUGCGAAAGCGUGGGGAGCAAACAGGAUUAGAUACCCUGGUAGUCCACGCCGUAAACGAUGUCAACUAGCCGUUGGGAGUCUUGAACUCUUAGUGGCGCAGCUCACGCAAUAAGUUGACCGCCUGGGGAGUACGGCCGCAACGUUAAACUCAAUGAAUUGACUGGGGCCCGCACAAGCCGUGGAGCAUGUGGUUUAUUUCGAACUACGUGAAGAAACAUACCACGCCUUGACAUCCAAUGACUUUCUAGCAGAUAAAUGCUGCCUUCUGCACCAUGAGACAGGUGCUGCAUGCAGUGUCACUCGCCUUGCCUGAUGAUGGGAUAAGUCCCGUAAUGAGAGCACCCCUUGUCCUUAGUUAGCAGCACGUAAUGGUGGGCACUCUCAGGAGACUACCGGUGACAAACCGGCCGAAGGUGGGGAUGACGUCAAGUUAUCAUGGCCCGUGCGGCCUGGGAUCCUCACGUGCCACAAUGGUAGGUUCAAAGGGUUGACACGCCGCGAGGUGGAGUUAAUACCAUAAAACCGAUUGUAGUCCGGAUCGCAGUCUGCAAGGUCCCUGCUGAAGUCCGAAUCACGUGGCGGUAGAAGCAGAAUUCACGGCAAUACGUUCCCGGGCAGGCACACUCCUCUUAUGCUCCCCCGCCGCCUCCAGAAAGCAACUCUUCAUGCCAAGAUCUC
This 1375-nucleotide ribosomal RNA is filed under the name bacterium ASP7. Its description in RNAcentral is "bacterial SSU rRNA". It matches the Rfam family "Bacterial small subunit ribosomal RNA". The record is from RNAcentral.